UAAGGUCACGGCGAGACGAGCCGUUUAUCAUUACGAUAGGUGUCAAGUGGAAGUGCAGUGAUGUAUGCAGCUGAGGCAUCCUAACAGACCGAGAGAUUUGAAGCUGUGGCAUCCUAACAGACCGAGAGAUUUGAACCUUGCAGCUGCAGGCAUCCUAAUCAGACUCGAGAGAUUUGAAC
Molecule: ribosomal RNA, 179 nt
Filed under: Cymbidium ensifolium
Lineage: Eukaryota; Viridiplantae; Streptophyta; Magnoliopsida; Asparagales; Orchidaceae
Description: 4.5S ribosomal RNA
Source: RNAcentral